UGUCCCGCGGCUUCAGUCCUGCUCGGCCCAACGCUCAGGGAAAUGAAGCGGCUCAAUAAAAACUUUUGAUAUUAGUUUUUAUGGGUAUUUACACUGGUCAGGAGAGCUGAGUACGGAAGCUCCAUUAAUCAGCCCCCAACCUCGGUUUGGGAUGCUCAGUUUAU
Dasypus novemcinctus (nine-banded armadillo) is the source of this 164-nucleotide unclassified non-coding RNA. The record is from Ensembl. NCBI's taxonomy places the organism in Eukaryota, Metazoa, Chordata, Mammalia, Cingulata, Dasypodidae.